Molecule: long non-coding RNA, 1350 nt
Organism: Humulus lupulus (European hop)
Lineage: Eukaryota; Viridiplantae; Streptophyta; Magnoliopsida; Rosales; Cannabaceae
Exons: 5
Source: RefSeq, a predicted model, not a curated record
GUUGAAAUUCUGCUCUUAUAUCCAACUCUAGUUUCUGUUGGUGGUUAUAGUUAAUUAGUGUUGGAAGAUUAGGAUAAAAUAUGUUUGCACUUCAAUCUGUUUGGUUAUCCGAGCAAGGAUAUAUACUUCAAUUAUACAUGUUUUGUUUUAUGUUUGGUUAUACAAAAUCAUCUUCCCUUGUCUCUGGGUAGAUGGCAAAUCAAUGGCAUCUUUAUCACCUGCUGCUAGUUUCUGUUGGUGGUACUUCAUAUUGUUUUUUUUUUUUUUUCUGAAAAUGAAUAUUGAAGGAUAUUGUUGUAUGGAUAUUUUGUUAUUGUGUGAAUGAAUAAUAUAUGUACAGGUAAUAUAUAAAGGAAAAACUGCUAACCAUACACUUGUGCUACUCCCAUUGGCUAUACAAAAAAAUCAAUAUAGAGACUAAUCUGAAAACUAGUCUGUACACUGAUUUUAUUUUGCAAAUGAUUAGUUUCAUUUGAAAAUCUUGAAGAGCAUGUGUUUCAAUCAAAUUAAAAAUUAAACACUAGAAUCUACUUUUAUAGACAUCUUUUUUACAGCUGGGUAAAUUGCUUCCAUGGCCACUCCUUCAAGAAUUUCACUUUCACUGCUUCCUGGCUCUCCCAUCGAUUGGCAAGGAAAUAGUUGAAGUUCUGGAUAUACUGCUGAGGUGAUAUGAUUUACAACACAUGUUUGUUGAAGUCCUUCAAGAAAAUGAAAAAGUGAAACUCAAGAGUAAUAAGGUGAGAUUUUAUUGCUGAAAUUUAUAGUAGUACUUGUUUUAAAAAUCUUAUGGUUUGGUAUAUUUGUGGACUUGCUGGUUUAUGAAUUUGCUUAUCUAGAUUUGUUGAAGGUAUGGUUCUCCUGUGUUUUCUAAAUAUGCUUGGCAACAAUGAGUUGAUGCGUGCACACUUCAGGUGUCCUCUUGCUUUUUAUCAAAGAUUUUCUCUUUGUUCAGUUUCUAGGAAGAAGUAUAGUAAUGUUUGCUUUGCCAUCUUUACAAUGGCAUGUUGAUUUAGCUUUAAAGUUUGUGUGUUUGUUAUCUAUUUUAUUUUUAUAUAUAUAUUGUUUUAUUUCAUGUUCAUGGUGAUAUAUCUCUUUAAUAUGUCAACAGUUGGUUAUGACAAAGAAGAAGAGGCAGCUAGAGCUUAUGAUCUAGCAGCAUUGAAAUAUUGGGGUGCCGCAAUCACUUCGAAUUUUCAUAUCAGGAUGAAUGCUACUAAUCUACAAAGGUAUUGAAGUGUUGAUCAAGUGGCUGGAUGUUUUUCAUUGAUUUAAUUUAUACGGUUGAUUACUUUGAGACACUGUUUUGAUACUUUUUGUUUUGGUGUAAAUAAGAUCAACUUUUUACUUGUC